Molecule: long non-coding RNA, 1261 nt
Organism: Humulus lupulus (European hop)
Lineage: Eukaryota; Viridiplantae; Streptophyta; Magnoliopsida; Rosales; Cannabaceae
Exons: 4
Source: RefSeq, a predicted model, not a curated record
UAUCUGAUUGGAAGUUUAUUUUUGAAAACUAAACUCAAAUCAGUUUCUCAAAUUUAUAAAGAAAAUGAGAAAACAAUAAAUACACGUUUUCAGAGUUUUGCAAUAUUUCAAUCUAAAAACCCUAAAAUCAUUUUGUAAACUUUCUCCUUCUCAUUUUCUCUCUGCGCCGCCUCUCUGUCAAAAGCAGAGUUCUUCUUCUUCUUCCACAAAACCACACCAUUCAAACUUUUCUUCUUCUCUGUUAUUAAUCAGAUCAACUAGCCAGUCCUCUGUUGUCUUCUCUCGUGAUCAGCCAGCCUUUUCCUCUCCAUUACACAAGGGACGCCGUUGCCAACACCAGGCAGGGGAGGGACGCCGUUGCCAGCACCAGGCAGGGGAGAAGCAUUUUCGAUCUAAGAUUGCGGGUUGACGGAGAGACACCAUUGCCGAACUGAGUGCGAUAGUCGGGUUGAGCAAUAGCUGACCACAACACCAUCACACCAUUGUAGUCCAUUUACGCUCAACCUGCAUCAUCUAAGAAAUAUCCAAAUGCGAAAAGAUUUCGAAAAAAAGGAUUGCAACAUUAUGAGAUGCUUGGAGAAAUAUUCAAUAAUACAACAGCCACUGGUGGGAUGAGUUAUGCCUCCACUCAACUUCCGCCUUCUUCAGUUGAAGAACGCCAACAAGAGCGUCAUUUUGUUGGAACUGGAGCACAUGUUGAUGUUGGUUUUGAAUUUGAUGGUGAUAAUUAUGGAGAGGAGGAAGAAGUUACUGGUGUACGUCGUCGAGCUACUUCUGCUCCACCAGAUGCACCAAAACCAAAAGAGAAAAAGAACAAAGGGGCCAAUCCAUCCAUCGACCAUGUGAUGGAAGAACUUGCAAAAAGUAUUUCUGCUAAGACUGAGGCAUCACUAGUACGGAGUGAGACUAUGCGUAAGUAUUAUGAAUCGAGGGAAAGGAGAAUUAGCGAGGAAACCAGCAAUGUCACUAACUCUUACAAUGUGGAAGAUUGUCAAAACAUUCUAGAUGGUAUUCCAAAUCUGGAUAACAAAAUAUACCUCAAAGCGUUGCAAGAGUUUGUAGCAACCCCAUAAUGGCGUGGAAUAUUCAUGAGAAUGAAUGAGGAGCGUCGUCGUGCUUAUCUUGAUUCAUUGAUGGGGUGAUUUAAUAUUGUUUAUUAAUUAUGAGUUUGUCUGUCAUGAACUACUAAACCAUGAAGUUUACAUUUUCUUAAAUAAUGUGUAAUGAACUUAACUUGGUAUUUAUUAUCAUGAUUGAACUA